GAUUCCUGCCUACGUGAAGCUUUCCCAAGGCUCCCUAUGCUGAUAAGGAUUCAGACAACUCUUUCCAAACAGAGCUACCAAGAGAAACUCAUUGCUGCCUGGCACCCAGCAGGUUCAGGCUGUUGUGGUGAUAUGCAGCACAGGUGCAGGAUCGAUGCUGUGGUGAGCAAGACGUCAAGGGAUGUUCGGACAAGGCAGAACAUCUCCCCA
Coturnix japonica (Japanese quail) is the source of this 210-nucleotide non-coding RNA. The record is from RefSeq and is a predicted model, not a curated record. Lineage: Eukaryota; Metazoa; Chordata; Aves; Galliformes; Phasianidae.